GUUGAAGAACGCAGCGAAAUGCGAUAAGUAGUGUGAAUUGCAGAAUUCAGUGAAUCAUCGAAUCUUUGAACGCACAUUGCGCCCCAUGGUAUUCCGUGGGGCAUGCCUGUUCGAGCGUCAUUUACCCCCUCAAGCUCCGCUUGGUGUUGGGCGUCUGUCCCGCUUCGCGCGCGGACUCGCCCCAAAGGUAUUGGCAGCGGUCGUGCCAGCUUCUCGCGCAGCACAUUGCGCUUCUCGAGGCACCGGUGGGCCCGCGUCCAUCAAGCUCACCCCCCCAGUUUGACCUCGGAUCAGGUAGGGAUACCCGCUGAACUUAAGCAUAUCAAUAAGCGGAGGA
Molecule: unclassified non-coding RNA, 337 nt
Filed under: soil metagenome
Description: partial contains 5.8S ribosomal RNA, internal transcribed spacer 2, and large subunit ribosomal RNA
Rfam family: 5.8S ribosomal RNA (bases 1-120)
Source: RNAcentral